GCCGAACCGUCCAAACGUUAUUCGGAAUUAUUGGGCUUAAAGGGUGCGUAGGCGGCGCCGUAAGUCGGGUGUGAAAUCCCACAGCUCAACUGUGGAACUGCGCCCGAUACUGCGGUGCUAGAGGGAGACAGGGGCGAGCGGAACAGAUGGUGGAGCGGUGAAAUGCGUUGAUAUCAUCUGGAACACCGGUGGCGAAAGCGGCUCGCUGGGUCUCUUCUGACGCUGAGGCACGAAAGCUAGGGUAGAGAACGGG
This 253-nucleotide ribosomal RNA is filed under the name uncultured bacterium. Its description in RNAcentral is "partial 16S ribosomal RNA". It matches the Rfam family "Bacterial small subunit ribosomal RNA", at positions 524 to 776 of the family's 1533-position model. The record is from RNAcentral.